GUUGGCUAGCGUCGGAUGGAAAUCGACGCGAUAGUGCAAAGGCAAAAGCCAGCUUAACUGCAAGACUUACAAGUCGCGCAGAUAGGAAACUAGGGCUUAGUGAUCCUCUGCUUAUGUAUGACAGUGGCAGAGCUCAACGAAUAAAAGCUACCCCGGGGAUAACAGGCUGAUCGGACCCAACAGUUCAUAUCGACGGUCCGGUUUGGCACCUCGAUGUCGGCUCAUCGCAACCUGGGGCUGUAGUAGGUCCCAAGGGUUGGGCUGUUCGCCCAUUAAAGCGGUACGCGAGCUGGGUUCAGAACGUCGCGAGACAGUUCGGUCCUAAUCUGCUGUGGGCGUUGAAACUUGAGGGAAAUUCUUCCUAGUACGAGAGGACCGGAAGGAACAAGCCUCUAGUGUACCAGUUGUCCUGCCAAGGGCAUCGCUGGGUAGCUAUGCUUGUUUAGAUAACCGCUGAAAGCAUCUAAGCGGGAAGCUAUACCCAAGAUUAGGUUUCGUUAUGAGAUUCCCCGUAGACUACGGGGUUGAUAGGCUACUGGUGUAAGUUCUGCAAAGAAUUCAGCCUGGUAGUACUAAUA
Molecule: ribosomal RNA, 578 nt
Filed under: Candidatus Berkelbacteria bacterium CG_4_10_14_0_8_um_filter_35_9_33_8
Lineage: Bacteria; Candidatus Berkelbacteria
Description: bacterial LSU rRNA
Rfam family: Bacterial large subunit ribosomal RNA
Source: RNAcentral